Molecule: ribosomal RNA, 518 nt
Filed under: uncultured fungus
Lineage: Eukaryota; Fungi
Description: SSU rRNA
Rfam family: Eukaryotic small subunit ribosomal RNA
Source: RNAcentral
AUAAAAAACCAAUGCGGGCAACCGCUUUUCUGGUGAUUCAUAAUAACUUAACGAAUCGCAUGGCCUUGCGCCGGCGAUGGUUCAUUCAAAUUUCUGCCCUAUCAACUUUCGAUGGUAGGAUAGUGGCCUACCAUGGUGGCAACGGGUAACGGGGAAUUAGGGUUCGAUUCCGGAGAGGGAGCCUGAGAAACGGCUACCACAUCCAAGGAAGGCAGCAGGCGCGCAAAUUACCCAAUCCCGAUACGGGGAGGUAGUGACAAUAAAUACUGAUACGGGGCUCUUUUGGGUCUCGUAAUUGGAAUGAGAACAAUUUAAAUCCCUUAACGAGGAACAAUUGGAGGGCAAGUCUGGUGCCAGCAGCCGCGGUAAUUCCAGCUCCAAUAGCGUAUAUUAAAGUUGUUGCAGUUAAAAAGCUCGUAGUUGAACCUUGGGUCUGGCUGGCCGGUCCGCCUCACCGCGAGUACUGGUCCGGCUGGACCUUUCCUUCUGGGGAACCCCAUGGCCUUCACUGGCUGUGG